This 500-nucleotide ribosomal RNA is filed under the name uncultured bacterium. Its description in RNAcentral is "partial 16S ribosomal RNA". It matches the Rfam family "Bacterial small subunit ribosomal RNA", at positions 30 to 523 of the family's 1533-position model. The record is from RNAcentral.
AUUGAACGCUGGCGGAAUGCUUUACACAUGCAAGUCGAACGGCAGCACGGACUUCGGUCUGGUGGCGAGUGGCGAACGGGUGAGUAAUAUAUCGGAACGUGCCCAGUCGUGGGGGAUAACGUAGCGAAAGCUACGCUAAUACCGCAUACGAUCUACGGAUGAAAGCGGGGGAUCGCAAGACCUCGCGCGAUUGGAGCGGCCGAUAUCAGAUUAGGUAGUUGGUGAGGUAAAGGCUCACCAAGCCGGCGAUCUGUAGCUGGUCUGAGAGGACGGGCAGCCACACUGGGACUGAGACGCGGCCCAGACUCCUACUGGAGGCAGCAGUGGGGAAUUGUGGACAAUGGGCGCAAGUCUGAUCCAGCCAUUCCGCGUGCAGGACGAAGGCCUUCGGGUUGUAAACUGCUUUUGUACAGAACGAAAAGGUCUCUAUUAAUACUAGGGGCUCAUGACGGUACUGUAAGAAUAAGCACCGGCUAACUACGUGCCAGCCGCCGCCGUAA